CCGGCCUUAGCUCAGUUGGUAGAGCGGAGGACUGUAGAUCCUUAGGUCGCUGGUUCGAAUCCGGCAGGCCGGA
RNAcentral lists this transfer RNA (73 nucleotides) under Rhododendron molle. Its description in RNAcentral is "tRNA-Tyr". It matches the Rfam family "tRNA". Rfam says of the family: Transfer RNA (tRNA) molecules are approximately 80 nucleotides in length. Their secondary structure includes four short double-helical elements and three loops (D, anti-codon, and T loops). The record is from RNAcentral. RNAcentral also lists the same sequence under 1 other name. Lineage: Eukaryota; Viridiplantae; Streptophyta; Magnoliopsida; Ericales; Ericaceae.